This is a long non-coding RNA of Haliotis rubra (blacklip abalone), 1871 nucleotides long. RefSeq lists it as uncharacterized. The record is from RefSeq and is a predicted model, not a curated record. The transcript is spliced from 3 exons. Lineage: Eukaryota; Metazoa; Mollusca; Gastropoda; Lepetellida; Haliotidae.
AGUAUACGCAGUUCAUUCGUCAGGUGAGCCAGUAUAGUCAGAUCAUUCGUCUGGUGAGUCAGUAUAUGCAGAUCUCUCGCCAGGUGAGUCAAUAUAGUCAGAUCAUUCGUCAGGUGAGUCAGUAUACGCAGAUCUCUCGCCAGGUGAAUCAAUAUAGUCAGGUCAUUCGUCAGGUGAGUCAAUAUAGUCAGAUCAUUCGUCAGGUGAGUCAGUAUAGUCAGAUCAUUCGUCAGGUGAGUCAGUAUAUGCAGAUCUCUCGCCAGGUGAGUCAAUAUAGUCAGAUCAUUCGUCAGGUGAGUCAGUAUAUGCAGAUCUCUCGCCAGGUGAGUCAAUAUAGUCAGAUCAUUCGUCAAGUGAGUCAGUAUAUCCAGAUCUCUCGCCAGGUGAGUCAAUAUAGUCAGAUCAUUCGUCAAGUGAGUCAGUAUAUGCAGAUCCCUCGUUAGGUGUAACAGUAUAUAGAAUAUUGUAAUGUCUCAUCAGAUGAAACAUAAAACCAAAUAUGUAGAUCUAAUCCCGCACUGUGGAGGUGAGUUUCUUGAAAGUAUCUAGAAAGCCCCUGGGUAGACAGUUAAGGAAGAUCCCUAUCCAGGUGAGUUAGUAUGUGCUGAUUUCUCACCAGGCGAGAGCAUGCAGAUCCCUCGUCAGGUGAGACAAUAGACAGAGCAUGCAGGUCUCUCGUCAGGUGUGACAAUAGAUAGAAUAGCCUAUACCCCAUCAGGUGAGACAGAUCCCUCGCCAUGUCCGUGUGAGAAGCCGCAAUCAGCAUUCAAAUGAAAUGAUACAGUCAGCACAAGUCACACUCGUCAGGUUGAAAGGCAUUUACCACACAAUGCAAUCCGUAGUAUCUCCCUCUCAGUAACCAGAUCCAAUACACCACCUAGUUGUUAUCACAGAUAGGACCUCUACACAGAAAGUGGGGAUCAGUGUCCUGUCUGGGAUGUGUCUGAAGAAGAUAUAUACACUUUCAUGUUUACAUCAGAGUUAAUUCCUUAUUUCCUGAGUGAAAACUAAACAUGAGUUGGCGUAUAAACAUGUCAACAUACAUAUUCAAGAUAUAAAAUGUUAUUUAUUUAUGCAAAUAUAUGAAUCGUGUACAUGAUCCGUGUGAUGGUGAAUAUCAAUAAAAACACAUACGUGUAUCUGCACAUUCAUCCUUGAUAAUGUAGUGUUCUCCAUUCACAUUGUUAUUCCGAGGGCGCAGAUGUUGCUGGAAUUGUUCCACCACCUGCAGUAUUGUUUUAUGCAUGCAGCAAUUCGGUUGAAACAAUACACCAUUACUGUUACCUGAAUGUUUCAACAAUAUUACAAGAAUAAUGCAGUAUUGAUACAAGAAUGUUGCAAUACUGUUUAAAGCAUGCUGCAAUAUUGUAACAAAAUGCCGAAAUGCCGAAUACUGCAACUUUGUUGUAACAAUACUUAAGUAUUGUUUAAAGAAUGCUGCAAUUUUGAUACAGCAUGCAGCAGUACAGUUCCAAGAAUAUUUUACAAGGAUGUUGCAAAAUAGUUAUGAGGAUGCUGCAAUAAUGUUACUGCAAUAAUGUUACUGCAACAGUGUUUAAAGCAUACAACAGUAUUGUUCCAAGAAUUCUACAAUAUUGUCACAAGUGUGAUGAGAUGGUUCCGAUAAGAUCGAAAAAAUUUAUGCUUGACACUAUGCACGGGACCUGUAGUCUUAACACAUCCUCCAUCUUCAAAGCUGACACCGAAUUUACAGAAACGACUGACACACUGUUAUAGCUCACUCCUUUGUAUCACAUAAAUACCGGCAACGAAUUGAUACCAAAUGUAUCAGUGCAGGGAUUCCUAAUUCAAUUAAAAAGGCAAUGUCUGGAAACGUUGUAGUGGACUGAGUUGAAGACGUGAUUAUGUAC